UUAAGGAACCUUCCUUUAAGUCUGGAAUAACCUUGCCAACGCGGGGCUAAUACCGGAUGUGAUUCAGCUGUCUCAUGGCAGUUGAAUUAAAGAUGACCUCUACUUGUAAGUUAUUGCUUAGAGAUGGUCCUGCGGACCAUUAGCUCGUAGGCGGGGUAACGGCCCACCAAGGCUGUGAUGGUUAGCCGGCCUGAGAGGGCGAACGGCCACAUUGGGACUGAGAUACGGCCCAGACUCCUACGGGAGGCGGCAGUAGGGAAUUUUGCGCAAUGGACGAAAGUCUGACGCAGCAACGCCGCGUGAGGGAUGACGGUUCUCGGAUUGUAAACCUCUGUUGAGUGGGAAGAACAACCCUGUAGAUAAUACCUGCAGGGUCUGACGGUACCACUCGAGGAAGCCCCGGCCAAAUACGUGCCAGCAGCCGCGGUAAUACGUAUGGGGCAAGCGUUGUUCGGAAUCACUGGGCGUAAAGGGAGCGUAGGCGGAGAUUCAAGUUAGAGGUGUAAUCUUCAGGCUCAACCUGAUUUUUGCCUUUAAUACUGUUUUUCUUGAGUAGUAGAGAGGGAGACGGAAUUCCAGGUGUAGCGGUGGAAUGCGUAGAUAUCUGGAAGAACACCAGCAGCGAAGGCGGUCUCCUGGCUACAUACUGACGCUGAGGCUCGAAAGUGUGGGGAGCAAACAGGAUUAGAUACCCUGGUAGUCCACACCGUAAACGAUGGACACUAGAUGUCGGGGAAGUCAUUUCUUCGGUGUCGCAGCUAACGCGAUAAGUGUCCCGCCUGGGGAGUACGCCCGCAAGGGUGAAACUCAAAGGAAUUGACGGGGGCCCGCACAAGCGGUGGAGCAUGUGCUUUAAUUCGAUGCAACGCGAAGAACCUUACCUGGGCUUGACAUGGGAGUGUAACUUUCCAGAGAUGGAAAGCCUUCCUUCGGGAACACUCUACACAGGUGCUGCAUGGUUGUCGUCAGCUCGUGUCGUGAGAUGUUGGGUUAAGUCCCGCAACGAGCGCAACCCUCGCCCUUAGUUGCCAUCAGGUAAUGCUGGAACUCUAAGGGGACCGCCUGGUAUAACCAGGAGGAAGGUGGGGAUGACGUCAAAUCCUCAUGGCCCUUACGUCCAGGGCUAGACACGUGCUACAAUGGCCGGUACAGAGGGAUGCAAGACUGUAAAGUUGAGCUAAUCCGUUAAAACCGGUCUCAGUUCGGAUUGGAGUCUGCAAUUCGACUUCAUGAAGUUUGAAUCGCUAGUAAUCGCGGAUCAGCAUGCCGCGGUGAAUAUGUUCCCGGGCCUUGUACACACCGCCCGUCAAGCCACGAAAGAUGGUAGUACCCGAAGUCGCUUCUCUAACCCGCAAGGGAAGAGUGCGCCGAAGGUAAGACUGUUGAUUGGGGCUAAGUCGUAGCAAGGUA
This 1410-nucleotide ribosomal RNA is filed under the name metagenome. RNAcentral's name for it is "bacterial SSU rRNA". It matches the Rfam family "Bacterial small subunit ribosomal RNA". The record is from RNAcentral.